Long non-coding RNA from Peromyscus californicus insignis, 475 nucleotides. RefSeq lists it as uncharacterized. The record is from RefSeq and is a predicted model, not a curated record. NCBI's taxonomy places the organism in Eukaryota, Metazoa, Chordata, Mammalia, Rodentia, Cricetidae. The transcript is spliced from 4 exons.
AAAGGCACAAGAACAUUUUAUCCAUGGCUGGCAGUCCAUGUAAAGUGCUGGUUUAGAUAGAGGUGUUCAUCUGUGAGCAUUUAGAUAUAAUGAAGGUGUCAUGGACAGAAAAUUCUUAUUUUGAUGUCUUGAAGCUCUGGUCUUCAGUCCCAGUUUCUGCUUUUACCAAUGGGGUAGACUUGCACCUGUCAUCUCUGUCUCCAAAGGUCGUCCAGGGGCUGUUUAUAUGAAGACUGAAGACUGUCCUAUGGACACAGGAUGCAGAGCAAGAAAGGAAGGGAGGCCCUGAGUUUAGUUCCCAGGACCCAUGUCUGGUGGCUCACAACUACCUGUAACACCAGUUCUAGAAGACCUUCUUCUGUCUUCUAAUCCACGUUAAAAAUGGCCGGUGAUGCUGGUACAUGCUUGUCAUUAUAGCCCUGGAGAUGUGGAGACAACAGCAUUCCUGAGACUCCUUGGCCAGCCAGCCUAGCCU